UCCCCGGAUAGAACGAUCCCUAUUUGCUUAUACUACUAACGAUAUUUUAGGGUUAAAUUAUGCGCUUCCUUACAGCGCAUCAGUCAUGCAUUUCAAUCCGGUUAGGUAUCUAAUGCCUUUACCUAAGUGCAUAAAGCUUGGAAUGAAGAAAUUAUCUCUAAGUGAUUGUAGUUCACAACCCUAACAUGUACAUAUGAUAUGCUAUCAUGCUUCAAACAACCAAGGUUAAUCAAGCCUUAAUAAUUUCUCAUGUCAUGGCAAAUAUUUAUACCCAAAUUGAUUAAGUUUAAGCAUCAACAUUCAACUCUUGAACUAGCAUGUUAAGGUGCUAAAGAAAAGUGCAUCAAACAUAGGUAGUUUCUGGAGAAAAACUAGGUUUUCCUAGGUUUUUCUUUGUUGUUGUUUUAGAUUUCUGGGUUUUGUUUGAAGUGGGGAGUGAUCCGCGCUUCACCUAAGUCACAGAUCUAGGCUCAGGCUAACUCUUGCGUUUCUGAUUUCAGAUAGCGAAUUUGAGGCCCGGGUUGACAUAGCUCUAGGAUGGAAUCAAAAACCAAGGCUGGGGAUGUGGGAUAGUUAUAUCAAUCUUCCACGAGAGAAGCGGAAGCAGAUAUUGACCGGUACCUAGCUCGUAGUAGUACCCGUGUGGAGUUAGCAGAGAAUACCGGAUCAUCGACUAGGGUAUUAUCAGAAAGUAGCGAGGAUACAGAUGGAGAUGAAAGUGACGACGCUGCCGGGGAGAUGCAGCUGGUUACAGUAGCUAUUCCCGAGGGUACACCUAAACCUAGGUACGUCUUAGUAGACAGGACCGUGUGCGACGAGCCCGAAAGAAGUAUGACAAUGAAGGAGAUCAUGGCGAUGAGGCUGAAGUGGGGAAUACCGGGCGAGGUAGAACUUAGGCCUCUCAGGGAUGGGGAGUUGGCAGCGAAUCCUCCUCCUGGAUUGGUGGGGUUGCACGAGAACUAGCUCCACCAAGGGCUAUCAUUACCACUGCCCCGGUGCCUAUAGUAUCUCUUGCGGAUGCUGAACCUGUCACCGGGGCAGUUGACUCCGAAUGCCUGGCGGCAAGUGUUGAGUAUGAUGGCCAUGUGGGACUUGUGCCAACAAGGCUGACCUACCAUAAACAAAUUCUGAGCCGUGUACCGAGUCUUAUACUUGAGGAAGCAGUCUUGUCAAUGUACCGUAAUAUUCACCGCCCGGGACUUCGAACCCCUAGUUACCGAUAUGCCCACCUCUCAGAGCAAGAGGUGGAGGAACAAAGUGCUUCUUGUUGGAGGACAUUGGAAUAUUAGGAAUAAGAAAUGGUACCUAAUGGGUACGUUUCAGGCCAUCGGGAACCAGUCUUACUCCUUGUCCGAGGUCGAGAGAAAACGCAUAGCCCGGGUAUACGCUGUGUGGAGUGAAGAAGAAAUGAGCUCAUAUAGGUUCAUCCAGUACUCCAUACUAGAAAGGCUAGGCCUAUGGAGGCUCCCCGUGAAAGUGCUGAAGAGGAAACCCAGGAAAGGUAAGGAAGACGACAAGAUGGAUGACAAUCAACUUAUGGAAAUGUUGAUGAGCCAAGGAGAAGAAGCCUUUCACAUUGACGUUAACUUAGCGUCGAAAGUUACAGGUCUCUCUAUUGACGAAGUUCUUCUAGAGAUCAGUGACCAAGAGUAGGGGAACCAUAAGCCUGAAGCUCCCAUUACCCUCGCCGAGCAGCCUGUUGCUGGGGAGAUGGUGACUGUUGUCGAUACUGGAUGAGAUAAGGCACCUGUGUCUGGCUCCUUUUCUUCCCGGUCAGCCGGAAGCGAGGACGUCUUGCUUCCUUGUGAGAAGAGAAGGCUCCACAAACACCGCCAUCGGAGCCGGGAUAAUGAGGAGGUCACUUACACCGGCUGGGAUGUCAAAGGGGCGGGGCUGAAAAGGCAGAAGAAGAGCUAUCCGGUAUCAGAACCAUAGCCAUCGCUUGCGCUUCUGUCCCUGGGCAUACCGGUAGUCCCCAAGAAGCCUAUCAAGCAGCUGUUGAGCGAGUACGGGGUUGCUGACGAGAAGUUCGUGCGUUCGAUGCUGGCCGACCUAAAAGAUAUCAACCUCGACUGAGUACGAGCGAAGGACAACUCUCCCCAGGAAAAUCGUCUUAUUGCCAGGGAAUCAAUGAUGCGGUGAGGAAGAUACUCACUUGAAGGAAGAAGUUAGCAACCUCUCCGGGCAAGUGAAGUAUCUUCAUGGGGAGAAAGAGCGCGACUCCUUGAAGUAGAUGGUAGAGUCCCUAACUCCCAAGGUAGCCGAGCUGGGGGCGGCCAAGAAGAAGAUCGUGGAUCUUGAGGGUGAACUUUUCGGGGCGAUGAAUAAGCUAGGGAGUGCCCGGGACUCCGAGAGGGAAGCUGCAGAAUCUGCCAAGUCAUGGAAGGAUAGGGCAGAUCAUAUGGAGGAGCGCCUUCCCGUUGAGAAGCAGGAGGCCGUUGCCGGGUACAAAGAUUCUCAAAAGCUUAUGGAUAUGUUACUCGCUGUUAAAGACAAGGCCGUAAUUCUGAAGUAUAAAGAGUGGGUGGCGGCCGGGUACCUGGAUGAAGCCAAAUUCAUGCGGGGACUUCUUGAGAAGAAGAAGAAGGAACAGGAGGCUGCAGCCAAAGCUGGUGCAGGUGGAUCCCAGAGUAAUGCUCCUGAACAGUGGUGUUUAGGAAUUAGUAUAUGUGUAAUUGUCCUCUUUUUAGUAGAAAUUACCCUUGCCUUGAACAAUGGCUUAAUUCUUUUUCCUGGUAGUCCUGGUUUUUUGUGAAUGGGAAUUUGAAAGGAAUUACAAUUUCUAUGA
This is a long non-coding RNA of Rosa chinensis, 2788 nucleotides long. RefSeq lists it as uncharacterized. NCBI's taxonomy places the organism in Eukaryota, Viridiplantae, Streptophyta, Magnoliopsida, Rosales, Rosaceae. The record is from RefSeq and is a predicted model, not a curated record. The transcript is spliced from 3 exons.